UAAAAUCGGAGUUAUAACCCAUUUGUACCCUUUUGCGUUUCUUUUUUUGAAGAGUAUAUUUGAUAUUUAAUGCUGCUGUAUUUAUAUAUUACACAUAGGUUGCCUAUUUGAAUUCUUUGGACGUACAACAACAAAGGAUGUAAUUGAAAGAAUGAUGGAGUGCAUAUUCACCCAGCCUUUCGCCUGUCAGUGCAACUGGGUUGGCAGGAGGAAGAAAAAGGGCAUCACGAAAUUAAUUCUCAGAAAGAUGCUGCCAAAAAGAGCAACAUAAAAGAGCACUUGAGGAGGAGAGGCAACGUGCGAGGUCAGCAGCCAUGGAGACGUAGUCGGAAUCCGAAAGAUGAUGAACAAGAUUGAUAUGUAAUUCGAUAAUAAAUGUUACAACUGUGCUUUUGUUAUUCUUAAUUACUCUGGCCCAACGUUGUGCCAACUAUAUAACGCGUUAUGAAAAUGUUGGCACAACGUUGGGCCAACUAUAUAACGCGUUAUGAAAAUGUUGGCACAACGUUGGUACACCGUUGGCGCAACGUGGAAUUACCAACAGUGAGCCAAUGCUGGCCCAACGGACAAAAUGACCAUGUGCCAACGUCGGCAGUCGACGUGGGGCCACCAGUCAGUUUACGUUGGGCCAACCAUGGUAUGCUAUCUGGGAUGUUUCGAUUCGCCUUAAUUUUUAUUUUGUUAAUAAAGUACAUUUAUUCAUUGAUUUGUCCUAUAUCCAUUGAUUUUUAGAUGUCGCACAUUGCGAUCUACAUUGCG
Gigantopelta aegis is the source of this 759-nucleotide long non-coding RNA. RefSeq lists it as uncharacterized. The record is from RefSeq and is a predicted model, not a curated record. The transcript has 3 exons. Lineage: Eukaryota; Metazoa; Mollusca; Gastropoda; Neomphalida; Peltospiridae.